UGUGGGAGCGAGCCUGCUCGCGAUAGCGGUGGCUCAGACACUUUAUGGGUGACUGGUCUACCGAUAUCGCGAGCAGGCUCGCUCCCACA
Molecule: unclassified non-coding RNA, 89 nt
Filed under: Pseudomonas mediterranea
Lineage: Bacteria; Pseudomonadati; Pseudomonadota; Gammaproteobacteria; Pseudomonadales; Pseudomonadaceae
Source: RNAcentral